CUACGUGCCAGCAGCCGCGGUAAUACGUAGGGUGCGAGCGUUAAUCGGAAUAACUGGGCGUAAAGGGCACGCAGACGGUUACUUAAGCAGGAUGUGAAAUCCCCGGGCUCAGCCUGGGAACUGCGUUCUGAACUGGGUGACUAGAGUGUGUCAGAGGGAGGUAGAAUUCCACGUGUAGCAGUGAAAUGCGUAGAGAUGUGGAGGAAUACCGAUGGCGAAGGCAGCCUCCUGGGAUAACACUGACGUUCAUGCUCGAAAGCGUGGGUAGCAAACAGGAUUAGAUACCCUGGUAGUCCACGCCCUAAACGAUGUCAAUUAGCUGUUGGGCAACUUGAUUGCUUAGUAGCGUAGCUAACGCGUGAAAUUGACCGCCUGGGGAGUACGGUCGCAAGAUUAAAACUCAAAGGAAUUGACGGGGACCCGCACAAGCGGUGGAUGAUGUGGAUUAAUUCGAUGCAACGCGAAGAACCUUACCUGGUCUUGACAU
Molecule: ribosomal RNA, 487 nt
Filed under: uncultured bacterium
Lineage: Bacteria
Description: bacterial SSU rRNA
Rfam family: Bacterial small subunit ribosomal RNA
Source: RNAcentral